This is a long non-coding RNA of Zootoca vivipara (common lizard), 633 nucleotides long. RefSeq lists it as uncharacterized. Lineage: Eukaryota; Metazoa; Chordata; Lepidosauria; Squamata; Lacertidae. The record is from RefSeq and is a predicted model, not a curated record.
CACAGAGCCUGAUCAAUAAGCGGUCACUUGGUAUUCCAUAAGCUGCAGAACAGUCACAUAGCUCUUUUCCGUUAUUGCUGUCUGAUCUGAGAUCCUUUUUGAACAUCAGCUAUGAAGGUUCAAUGGCUUUUCCUUGCUGUUUUUUCAGGGGUAUGCCUGGUUUCUGAAAUGUGGAUUCCUGAGGUAACUACUGAAAAGGAGUGUGAAGACUUUUACGCUCGAUGUCUUAGCACUGCUAACUGUGAUUGCUAUCACGCACAGGUUGGAACAUGCGGUAGAGGUCAAAUUUGCUGCAAGGCAACUGGAUCGUAUAAUCCAGCAGCGUGUGGCCAGGCAAAAAGAUCUGCCUCUCUUCAAGAAGCACAGGGAGUCGCAGCUAUUGAAGCACCUCUGUCCUAGCUGAGAAAGCCUCAAGAUCAUCAGGCUGAAGGAGGUAACUACAUUUGCUCUUACGCUCCGGCCCAUUGGCAUGCAGAAUAAAAUUGUACCUCUCUGCAACGAAAGUGUCUGUGUGUGCUUCUUCCCUUCCUGCUCAUUUGACUUAUUUCUCUUAUAAGUCCCGUUCCGUGCCCAAUAAGCAUGGGGCACCUUUGCCCGGCAGCGCUGCAGCCCGUAGAUUGCAGCAAAGUCUUU